RNAcentral lists this ribosomal RNA (490 nucleotides) under uncultured bacterium. RNAcentral describes it as "partial 16S ribosomal RNA". It matches the Rfam family "Bacterial small subunit ribosomal RNA", at positions 29 to 507 of the family's 1533-position model. The record is from RNAcentral.
AUUGAACGCUGGCGGCAGGCCUAACACAUGCAAGUCGAACGGUAACAGGAAGCAGCUUGCUGCUUCGCUGACGAGUGGCGGACGGGUGAGUCAUGUCUGGGCAACUGCCUGAUGGAGGGGGAUAACUACUGGAAACGGUAGCUAAUACCGCAUAACGUCGCAAGACCAAAGAGGGGGGCCUUAGGGCCUAUUGCCAUCGGAUGUGCCCGGGUGGGGUUUGCUAGUAGGUGGGGUAACGGCUCACCUAGGCGACGAUCCCUAGCUGGUCUGAGAGGAUGACCAGCCACCCGGGAACUGAGACACGGUCCAGACUCCUAGGGGAGGCAGCAGUGGGGAAUAUUGCACAAAGGGGGCAAGCGUGAUGCAGCAAUGCCGCGUGUAUGAAGAAGGCCUUCGGGUGGGAAAGUACUGUCGGCGGGGAGGAAGGGAGUAAAGUUAAUACCUUUACUCAUUGACGUUACCCGCAGAAGAAGCAACGGCUAACUCCGUG